UNUGAAGUUAAAGGCUGUGGCUUAACCAUAGUACGCUUUGGAAACUGUUUAACUUGAGUGCAGAAGGGGAGAGUGGAAUUCCAUGUGUAGCGGUGAAAUGCGUAGAUAUAUGGAGGAACACCGGUGGCGAAAGCGGCUCUCUGGUCUGUAACUGACGCUGAGGCUCGAAAGCGUGGGGAGCGAACAGGAUUAGAUACCCUGGUAGUCCACGCCGUAAACGAUGAGUGCUAGGUGUUAGGCCCUUUCCGGGGCUUAGUGCCGCAGCUAACGCAUUAAGCACUCCGCCUGGGGAGUACGACCGCAAGGUUGAAACUCAAAGGAAUUGACGGGGGCCCGCACAAGCGGUGGAGCAUGUGGUUUAAUUCGAAGCAACGCGAAGAACCUUACCAGGUCUUGACAUCCCGAUGCCCGCUCUAGAGAUAGAGUUUUACUUCGGUACAUCGGUGACAGGUGGUGCAUGGUUGUCGUCAGCUCGUGUCGUGAGAUGUUGGGUUAAGUCCCGCAACGAGCGCAACCCUUAUUGUUAGUUGCCAUCAUUCAGUUGGGCACUCUAGCGAGACUGCCGGUAAUAAACCGGAGGAAGGUGGGGAUGACGUCAAAUCAUCAUGCCCCUUAUGACCUGGGCUACACACGUGCUACAAUGGCUGGUACAACGAGUCGCAAGUCGGUGACGGCAAGCUAAUCUCUUAAAGCCAGUCUCAGUUCGGAUUGUAGGCUGCAACUCGCCUACAUGAAGUCGGAAUCGCUAGUAAUCGCGGAUCAGCACGCCGCGGUGAAUACGUUCCCGGGCCUUGUACACACCGCCCGUCACACCACGAGAGUUUGUAACACCCGAAGUCGGUGAGGUAACCUUUUAGGAGC
Molecule: ribosomal RNA, 861 nt
Filed under: uncultured bacterium
Lineage: Bacteria
Description: bacterial SSU rRNA
Rfam family: Bacterial small subunit ribosomal RNA
Source: RNAcentral